Callorhinus ursinus (northern fur seal) is the source of this 2510-nucleotide non-coding RNA. Lineage: Eukaryota; Metazoa; Chordata; Mammalia; Carnivora; Otariidae. The record is from RefSeq and is a predicted model, not a curated record.
GGCUAAUUUUAUACAGGAAAUCAACAUCUCAUCUUCAUCUUCUGAAUGACAAAGAAAAAUAAACUCGGCACCCUGGCUUUCUUGGUCUGGACCUUUUGCUGUAGUCUCUUUAACGUCCCCAUUGAUUCCACUGGGUCACCACCUGAUUUUACGGCCUAGCACAAACAGAGCUCAAGAUGUUUUCUAAGAAGACUGACUUAUAAAUUGAACUCAUCAUCCAACCAAUAAACGAACUUUUAUUGAGCACCCUACUGUAUGCCAAGCACUGUCACACAUUCUGAGGAUAUGGCAUUGAACAAGUAAAAUGAGACCCCUGCUUUCGUACGGUCUACAUUCUAGGGGGAAGUGACAUACCAUAAACAUAUAAACACAUACAUAAACAAGAAAAUGUGAUAUCUGCUAUGCUAACAGUUAACAGCAUGACUGAGUGUGGAUGGGGGAGGAUUACUAAUUUACACUGGGUGGUGGUCGGGGGUGGUUUCACUACAGAUACUGAAGCUGAGCCUGAAUUAUAAGAAGGAACCGGAUGUGAAGAUUUGGAGAUGGCUUUGAAUUCAGUGGAUGGUCAGGGAGGUCAUUUCCAGAACUAAGAUCUGAAUAACAGAGAAGGGUCAGCCCAGCGACUAGCAGGGGGAAGAGAAUUCCUGUGAGGGUAGGGCUUGUGCAAAGGUUCCAAAGCUGAAGAUCCUGGAAGAAUUCUUAGCAUGCCCAAGGAAGAGAACAGAGGGAAGAGCAUUGUAAGAUCAGCCAGAGACCUGAUGAGGGGCCCUCAAGGAGUUUUGUAGAACAAGGUGAGGAACAUGUAUUUGUUCUAAUAUUCUUCUUCCGACUUUAUUGAAUUUUGAUCAUCUUACUUUUUAAAGGGCUUUCCCCAAAAGCAUUCAAAAUAUGUUCUGAUCUUAUCCAUCUUUAAUUCACCAUAUUUUAUUUACCACUCUUUCUGCUCCCUUUCCCGGGCAUGCUUCUCAGAAAAGUUAACCGUGUAUGCUUCCUUUAAUUCCUCUAAUUUCUCAUCUUUCAACUCCCCUCACGUACUUGUCAGUCAGCUUUUGCCUCUACUAUUCCAUUUAGAUUGCUUUUGUUUUCCAAUGAACUAUUUUCAGAUUCCAUUAUUGCUUGAUAUGCAGCAAUAUUGACCAUGAUGAUCUGCAGGAAACAAUUUCUUUUCUUGGCCUCUGUGACACACAUUUUCUGGUUUUCCUUUCACCCUUUCUGGCUGUUCUUUCUCUAACUCCUAUAUUCUGGUAACUCCUUUUCUCUCAAAACUAAAUGCUUAAAUUCCUUUACAGCUAGCUCUGGGUCCUCAUCUAAUAUUACCAUCAUUCUUUUCUCACCUACACACACACACACACACACACACACACACACACACUUUUUAAGGCCACUUACAUGCUGAUGAUUCCUAAUUAUUUCUCCAGGGUUUUUGUUAGAGCUUCAGACUUACAGAUGCAACUGUCUACCUAAAAUGACUUCUGAGCACUAUCAAAACUGACCUCUACACCACCAACAUGAUUCUCAUCUUCUUCCACUCAGUGAAUGCCAUCUUCAUCCACCCUCAUGCACAUUGCAUAAAUCAGAUUAUCACCUUUGCCACUUACCUCUCCUCUGUUUACUUAUAUUUAUUCCAUUACUGAAUUUGGUCUAUUCUAUUACUGAGUUUGGUCUGUCCUCCAAAAUGUAUCUUGAACCUGUUUCUUUUUCACCAUUUCCAUUUUUACCACCCUAGUUUAAUCUUCUCUCAUUGAAACUACUGCCAAAAGUCUCUUUUGUUUUGCUUUGUUUUUUUACUUUUGCCUUUCUUCAGUUGAUUCACAAUAUAAUGUUAGAGUUCUCUUUGAAAGAUGUAAAUCUGAUGAUACUACUAUCUUGCUUAAAUUACUGCAAAAUUUCCCAGGGUUCUUUAAGUAAAAUCCCAAAUAUUUGACUGGGUUUGUAAGACCUAUGUCUCCAGACUCCCUUCACACUCACCAGGUGAAGAUGUUUAGAUUCCCAAUCUCCAAAGCACGUUGUUUCCUGAGUGUUUUAUGUACACUGCUCUCUCUGCCUGGAAUGCAUAUUCUCAUUCACCCGGACUGGUGAAUUCCUACUCACCCCUGCAGCUUCCUCCUAAACGUCAUUUUUCAGAGAGAUCUUUCCUGACUCCCAAGUCCAAAUUAGAUCCCUAUUCUUUUACCUUCUUGGCUUUCACCACAAUUUCCGAUUUAUAUUUUUGUGUCAUCAUCGGUUAAAUGUCUUCCUUCCCCAUAGACUCUAAACUGAAGGAAGGCAGAAACCAUAACCUUCCAUAUAGGUACCAUGAAGUAUGCUUGGUACCUAUAACAUUGUUGAUAGUUGGUACUCUGUAUGAACUAGUUGAAGUAAUGAUACAAAAUGAAUGAAUGAAUGGAUGAGGACUUGAUUUGGUAAAAUCUAUUUCUUUAAAAUGUAAUGAUGUGAAAAACAGAAUUAGGGAUUGAGACUGAGAGAAAGAGAUAAGAAAAUUUUUGUAUUUAGUUUAAGUUUUUCUCCUA